AUUUAAUUCAACAUCGAGGUCACAAACUUAAUUAUUAAUAAGAACUCGCCAAUUAAAUUAUGCUGUUAUCCCUAGAGUAAUUUUAUUUUCUUCAAUUAUAAAACCAAAAAUCUCUUUCUUCAACUGAUUACCCCAACCAAAAAUUCUAAAUUUUAAACUUCUAGGGUCUUCUCGUCCCUAAACCUCAUAAAAACAUUUUUAUUCUUAAUUUAAAUUCAAAUUAAUCAAUAAAAACAAUCCUCCCAAAUUUCUACCUUUCAUUCCAGUCCCCUAUUAAAGAA
Molecule: ribosomal RNA, 281 nt
Filed under: Pickeliana capito
Lineage: Eukaryota; Metazoa; Arthropoda; Arachnida; Opiliones; Stygnidae
Description: partial large subunit ribosomal RNA
Source: RNAcentral